RNAcentral lists this ribosomal RNA (449 nucleotides) under uncultured bacterium. RNAcentral describes it as "bacterial SSU rRNA". It matches the Rfam family "Bacterial small subunit ribosomal RNA", at positions 328 to 793 of the family's 1533-position model. The record is from RNAcentral.
UUGCCAGACUCCUACGGGAGGCAGCAGUGGGGGAUAUUGCACAAUGGGGGAAACCCUGAUGCAGCGACGCCGCGUGUGGGAAGACGGUCUUCUGGAUUGUAAACCACUGUCCCCAGGGACGAAAAUGACGGUACCUGGGGAGGAAGCUCCGGCUAACUGCGUGCCAGCAGCCGCGGUAAUACGUAGGGGGCAAGCGUUAUCCGGAUUCACUGGGUGUAAAGGGAGCGUAGACGGCGACGCAAGUCUGGAGUGAAAGCCCGGGGCCCAACCCCGGGACUGCUCUUGGAACUGCGUGGCUGGAGUGCAGGAGGGGCAGGCGGAAUUCCUGGUGUAGCGGUGAAAUGCGUAGAUAUCAGGAGGAACACCGGUGGCGAAGGCGGCCUGCUGGACUGCAACUGACGUUGAGGCCCGAAAGCGUGGGGAGCAAACAGGAUUAGAUACCCUAGUAU